Molecule: ribosomal RNA, 207 nt
Filed under: uncultured bacterium
Lineage: Bacteria
Description: partial 16S ribosomal RNA
Rfam family: Bacterial small subunit ribosomal RNA
Source: RNAcentral
CGCGUAGGCGGCCUGUUAAGUCAGAUGUGAGAGCCCCGGGCUCAACUUGGGAAUUGCAUUUGAUACUGGCAGGCUCGAGUGUGGUAGAGGGAAGUGGAAUUCCGGGUGUAGCGGUGAAAUGCGUAGAUAUCCGGAGGAACACCAGUGGCGAAGGCGGCUUCCUGGACCAACACUGACGCUGAGGUGCGAAAGCGUGGGGAGCAAACA